AUUGAACGCUGGCGGCAGGCCUAACACAUGCAAGUCGAACGGUAACAGGAAGAAGCUUGCUUCUUUGCUGACGAGUGGCGGACGGGUGUGUAAUGUACGGGAAACUGCCUGAUGGAGGGGGAUAACUACUGGAAACGGUAGCUAAUAUCGCAUAACGUAGCAAGACCAAAGAGCGGGACCUUCGGGCCCCUUGCCAUCGGAUGUGCCCAGAUGGGAUUAGCUAGUAGGUGGGGUAACGGCUCACCUAGGCGACGAUCCGUAGCUGGUCUGAGAGGAUGACCAGCCACACUGGAACUGAGACACGGUCCAGACUCCUACGGGAGGCAGCAGUGGGGAAUAUUGCACAAUGGGCGCAAGCCUGAUGCAGCCAUGCCGCGUGUAUGAAGAAGGCCUUCGGGUUGUAAAGUACUUUCGUCGGGGAGGAAGGGAGGAAAGUUAAUACCUUGGCGUAUUGACGGUACCCGCAGAAGAAGCACCGGCUAACUCCGUG
Molecule: ribosomal RNA, 490 nt
Filed under: uncultured bacterium
Lineage: Bacteria
Description: partial 16S ribosomal RNA
Rfam family: Bacterial small subunit ribosomal RNA
Source: RNAcentral